Molecule: non-coding RNA, 1954 nt
Organism: Danio rerio (zebrafish)
Lineage: Eukaryota; Metazoa; Chordata; Actinopteri; Cypriniformes; Danionidae
Source: RefSeq, a predicted model, not a curated record
GUCUGGAGUGAACAGACUGGAGCGCGCGCGCGCGGGAAAGAGGGAGUUGCGCGCGCUGAGGAUGCUUCAGGAUGAAUUUUGGGAACCAGCGUGUAAUAGGUGCUCAUUAGGAGGAAUAUUGCGCGCAAUGCGCAACACGAAGCAGCGUCGGUGGAUCAGAAGAAACGCGCAGAUAUUUUCCACACAGCAGUAGCAGAAUCAUAUGUCCAUGAUUGCCUCUUCAACUUGCUGCAAGAGUCUUUUGCAAACGUUUCCUUCUGAAGCUGACGCAGACCAAGAUCCUUCUGGGAUGUCACACGGGCUUUGCCUGUGUGUCAAUUUAGCCACUUCCCUUGGAUAAGCUGCCAGAAGAUUAAGCCAGAACAAUUGCAGACCAUCUUUAUCAAGCCAAAACACAACAAUUAAACAUCUUCCCUGUGUUUUCCCAACCAGUGUGAGUAUUUUAGAGUCUCCAGCUUAUUUGGAGAGGUUGACUUUUUCAGUCAGCUGCAGUUUGCCCGGUUAUAGCUCCCCCUAGCAGCUCCCUCCAUAUUUCCUUGUUCAUGCUAGCCUUGAUAUCUAUUCUCACCCUAUACAGACACCAUGCCAAGACCUUUAAAAAUCCAUAUACAGGCAUGCAUUAGGGCCAAUAUACAUCCCAAUGAGCCCAUCCAUCCAUUAGUGGCCUGGCCAUUGGAGAACACAGCUCUUCCUACCUCUUCAGAUUGCUACCUCCUUCUCCAAAGUCCCAAUCCCGACUGUACUUCUUCUUCCCAGCAAACACUGCAAAAGAGGCUCUUCCAUUUUAGCUCAAUAUGGAGGGGUGUUCAAAUUGGACUAUACCAUUUAAAAUGGCCCUAAGAUGGCUGUGGAGCCUCAAAAAGGGCCCUUUGGCCACCAUAUAAUGCAGGUCUCCACUUGCUCCAUGACAGAAGCAAGAAUGAACCCCUAUUGACCAGCCCCCUCCUAGAGCUACAGAUGACCUCCCCCAAUGACAUUCAAAUAUUCCAGCCUUCCAACAGUCAGAUAGUGUCUAUACAGAGAGCCGACUGUCACUUCUGGAGCAGCUGAGGGCACAGAAAACCUCCAGACAGGCCAGCUGCCAAGCUCUGCCAUUGCUCACAAUAGGUGCAAGCUGUUUGUGGGGGGCUUAUUAGUCAAAUAAAGAUUUAAAUAAUAAAUUAAGAGCUAGAAUAAACCAAAUGUGUUAAAAUAGGGCAGAGAAAUAUGAGACAUCUAUUGCAUAUGCUGGCACUGAGAUAAAAAGGAUACAUUUCUAUUGGUGCCCAAACAGGACACCUGUUUCUAGCAUUAAUAAAACAAAACUUAACAAUCUUAGCAAUGGUUAUUAAAUUGCAUUUUAAGGAAUACUGAGUAGUUAGGGUAUAUAUGUACUGAAUUGAGACAAAUAAUUGCCGUAUAACUGUUUUUACCAAUAUAAACUGCCUUUUUAUGUUGAUUUCUGCUGGUACAGGCAUUUCCAUGCUUCUGUUCCUUUAAAUGCAAGAAGGAAGCACUAAAAUGAGUCUCUUUAAUGCAUAAUUCAUUGAACAAUGGCUAUAUUAGUCAAAAUAAAAUAAAAAAAAACCCAACAAAUUAAUAAACAAACCAAUUCACUUUUUCUAGGUAAAAGGAACGUGUUUUCAGUGGUGUCAAAAUAUUGCACCUCUUUUAUGCAAUAAUUAAAUUACAAAGCUUAAAAGCCUUUGCAUUGGAAUUGUAAAUAUCUUUUAAGGUAUACUGAUUAACAUACAGUAUAUCUACUGAUUUCAGAGCAACUGUUGUUGAAUGGCUGUUGUAUAUCAAUUUGAAAUGCCUUUUUAUCACACUUUCUGAUUCAUAGUCAUUCCUGAGCUCUUGUUCCUUUAAAUAUAACAAACUUGCUGUAAAAUGAGCUGUUAGGAUGUUUUUUAGUGCAUGCAUUGGUGUAGAAUAACAAUUAUAAUCCAAUAAAACAAGAAAUAAUUUUUAAAAA